GAAGUGCGAUAAGCAAUGCGAAUUGCAGAAUUCCGCGAAUCAUCAGAUCUUUGAACGCAAAUGGCGCCAGAGGGAUAUCCUUUUGGCAUGUCUGUUUCAGUGUCUGAGAGGUUUCACCUUUAUCUUAAUGUGAUUGACUCGUGUUUUUGAGUAUACUCUACUCGAUUUCACAGUCUCUCAUGAAAGAUGCGCGAGUGGAUCUUUCGGUCCAAUGAAGUGGUCACAUCACUCGUAUGUGAUUUCAUUUGAAGCACCGAAUUAUCCGCAAUGCUCGCGGUUCCUGUAUAAUGGCAUUCUCUCACGAGAUGUGUUGUUAUUACUAACUCUCUACACCCUGCAUCUGAGACAGGCAAGAUCACCCGCUGAACUUAAGC
RNAcentral lists this unclassified non-coding RNA (374 nucleotides) under plant metagenome. RNAcentral's name for it is "partial contains 5.8S ribosomal RNA, internal transcribed spacer 2, and large subunit ribosomal RNA". The stretch from base 1 to 105 matches the Rfam family "5.8S ribosomal RNA", at positions 50 to 154 of the family's 154-position model. The record is from RNAcentral.